GCCUGAGUGGCUCAGUCAGUUAAGCGUCUGACUUUGGCUCAGGUCAUGAUCUCGCGGUUCGUGAGUUCAAGCCUCACAUCGGGCU
This 85-nucleotide transfer RNA is filed under the name Felis catus (domestic cat). It matches the Rfam family "tRNA". Rfam says of the family: Transfer RNA (tRNA) molecules are approximately 80 nucleotides in length. Their secondary structure includes four short double-helical elements and three loops (D, anti-codon, and T loops). Further hydrogen bonds mediate the characteristic L-shaped molecular structure. tRNAs have two regions of fundamental functional importance: the anti-codon, which is responsible for specific mRNA codon recognition, and the 3' end, to which the tRNAs corresponding amino acid is attached (by aminoacyl-tRNA synthetases). tRNAs cope with the degeneracy of the genetic code in two manners: having more than one tRNA (with a specific anti-codon) for a particular amino acid; and 'wobble' base-pairing, i.e. permitting non-standard base-pairing at the 3rd anti-codon position. Lineage: Eukaryota; Metazoa; Chordata; Mammalia; Carnivora; Felidae. The record is from Rfam by way of RNAcentral.